UUCUACAGUGCUUAUGACUCCCCAAUGCACGAAGAAUCCACUGCAAGAGAGAGGAAUGCUUAGAUACAUUUCGGCAUUGUGCUGAAACCUAAUGCUGCAAACAGCCUGCUGAGGAUGAGUAUCUUCAUCGUAUCAGCCUUCUUCCAUGAUUCACUUGCCCAAGAACACUUUCUUUCCUUCAAUGCUGAUUACACAAAACUAUUGAAAAAUAUGAAAAAGUUGUGUAUUUGUAAUGUUUAUGUUAAAAUAAUCUCAAUGCAUGAAUUCAUUGUG
Molecule: long non-coding RNA, 273 nt
Organism: Numida meleagris (helmeted guineafowl)
Lineage: Eukaryota; Metazoa; Chordata; Aves; Galliformes; Numididae
Exons: 3
Source: RefSeq, a predicted model, not a curated record